UUACCAGAAACUGAUUUGUGGGAAUUAUUACCUUUACCAACUCAGGCAGUUUGACAAAAAAGUAAGACCACAGUCCAGAGUGGGCUGUUUCGCUUAGUGUGGUUCAUGACUAUCUUGGAACCUACACU
Microtus ochrogaster (prairie vole) is the source of this 128-nucleotide small nucleolar RNA. The record is from Ensembl. Lineage: Eukaryota; Metazoa; Chordata; Mammalia; Rodentia; Cricetidae.